UCCUCGUUUAAGCGAGGCAGUCUGUCCAGAGUGCUUCCUUCUCUCGAAGGAGUGGCAACAGGACACAAGGGUUGCGCUCGUUGCGGGACUUAACCCAACAUCUCACGACACGAGCUGACGACAGCCAUGCAGCACCUGUGUAUGCUGGUAUUGCUACCUCGUCAGGCUUUCACCCUUCUACUACAUACAUGUCAAGGCCAGGUAAGGUGGGGAUGAGUGUCCUUGAUAGG
Molecule: unclassified non-coding RNA, 230 nt
Filed under: uncultured Verrucomicrobiae bacterium
Lineage: Bacteria; Pseudomonadati; Verrucomicrobiota; Verrucomicrobiia
Description: contains 16S-23S intergenic spacer region
Source: RNAcentral